AACAAGGGUGGGUGGAGCGCAGCGUAAACAAGAAACCCCACCGAUUUCACGGGCAAAUCAUUAUCCCAAAGUUCCUGUUUUUCCGCUGUAACUGCGAUGGAGUAUUUACGUGCGAAGACAGUCCUGAAAUGAAUUGUGGAGCGGUGAACUCAGGAAACCUUGAGAGCUCAGCUACUCUGCAGCUUGUGAAAACAUGGGUCUUUUUUUUUUUAUUUUAAAGCAUUAUCAACAUAUCCUAGAGGCCCGGGGAACAUGUAGCAGAGUCUAAGGAUGUUUGUUUGGAGAUAGAGAACAUCAUGAUCCCUUGGCUAGAAAAGGGGAAAUCAUGGGGGUAGCAGAGGCCUGAAUAUGUUUAUUCAACAUGCUCGCCCUCCUCAGCCUCCCCAUCCUCACAUGCUGUCAGUGGCUGGGCCUCUGCAUCUGUCAUGAAGGACACACAUGGGGAAAGAGUUCACAAGGCUCGCACUUUUCCAACCUCGUCUCUGCUCAGACGACUUUGCCCCUGCUCUUUGUCUCACUACAGGGACUUUCCUUUACCCCGUCCCUGCCGGCACUCCUGGAUUCUGAUAACGAAGGCGACCUCAAUGAAGUGCCAGCGCGAUUAGAUUCAAUUUUGUCCUUCUUUUUUCUUCUUCUAUCAGUCCAAAAAACACUUCCCUCCAGAAACAGGCUUAUCCCACAUCUACAACCCCCUGCUGCCAGAAGCGGAAAGACUGUCGGUAAUAUUCAGCCAUUAUCUCCCACCGUUUAGCCUUGUGAUGAGGCAGUCACAAAUCUCUUAUCUCAGAUGGGACAAAGCCUGUGUGGGCACUGUGGACAACAGUGUAAACACUAAAGGAGGGACUGAUGGACAUCUGUCUGAGCAAACAGGAGGAAUCUGUCUGCAGUCUCAAUUUGGGGGAAAUGCUUCAAAAGCUUAUUCUUGUAUUUCAUUCAGUGAAGUGUGCCUCACUGACUAAUGACGGCUUUAUCCUAUUUAUCUAAAUAGAAGUUUGGUGUUUGAGGACGCUGCAUGACAGAGUCUACUGGCUGAGGCCCUCGAUUAAUAUCUCAGAUGUGUUAAAGAUCCAGAAAUUCAGUGUUAGGCAGAAAAAAAACAAAUGCCAAUGUUGUCACAUUCUGACAACAUGUAAAAGGAGUAUUUGCAAAUGCUUGUGCAAAAUCUUUAGGUAAGGGAUAGAUGAUGGUGAAGAUUUGGCCUAUUGUUCGCUCUUUUGAGUUUAUCUGGAAUUGUUGGAAGACAGAACAGGAAGUCUGGGCCCUAAGAAAAAAUGUGAUUUUUGCCUGCAGAGGCUAAGUCACCAGACUAGCCGAUAGAGUCCCAGACUGAAAAGGGUGGCGCCUGUGCAGCAGGAGAAAAGGUGCAUCAAGAUGAAGCCAAAGCACACAGGCUGAAAUGAUAUUUGGCUUUGGACAUACUGGAGAAAAAGCCUAAAUCACAGCAGAUCCACACAGAGGGACCUGUGGGACCUGAAACUCAGUUGACCUAAUUCUUUAUUGGCUUGUUAAUGUCAUUAUAUGACAGAAUAAAUCCUUAAUGAUGGGAUUGUGUUCAAAAACAAAAAAAGUGAUGAUCUUAGCAUAUACUUCAGCAGCAUUAGAGCG
Archocentrus centrarchus (flier cichlid) is the source of this 1605-nucleotide long non-coding RNA. RefSeq lists it as uncharacterized. The transcript is spliced from 3 exons. NCBI's taxonomy places the organism in Eukaryota, Metazoa, Chordata, Actinopteri, Cichliformes, Cichlidae. The record is from RefSeq and is a predicted model, not a curated record.